RNAcentral lists this non-coding RNA (45 nucleotides) under Schistosoma curassoni. Lineage: Eukaryota; Metazoa; Platyhelminthes; Trematoda; Strigeidida; Schistosomatidae. The record is from RNAcentral.
AUUCAGCUGAUGAGCCCCAAAUAGGACGAAACAUGUGUCCUAGAU